RNAcentral lists this long non-coding RNA (1647 nucleotides) under Anas platyrhynchos platyrhynchos (common mallard). Its description in RNAcentral is "lncRNA (ENSAPLG00000022635.1)". The record is from RNAcentral. Lineage: Eukaryota; Metazoa; Chordata; Aves; Anseriformes; Anatidae.
CUGGCAGUUGUCUUCUGGAAAAAUAAAACCUGACAUUUUAAUGUGGGCCCUUCGUACGAAAGGAGGUUUAGAAAGCGGAGAGAGCUGAAAACCACACACAAAACGAGGAGAAGGGGGAAAAAUUAGACCGAGGAAACAUCUGCUAAAGUUUUCCUGUUAUUUCAGGAAUGUUUGUGUAACUCAAGCAUUCCCUAACUCUUCGUAUCUUCGCUAAAAGAUUGCCUGGUGUCCCGCUCCCCAUCGCGUAACCUCUCUCCCCACUUGCGUUUGCUUACACAGGAAGGCCGUGGCAGGAAUGUGCUUAAUGUAUCUGAGCUUUGCUUUAAUGGGGCCGAGCAGCUGGAGACGAGCCGGGUGUUUCUCCAGCGUGCUGCUAGCAGCGGCUUUGCCAGGCACAACUGGAGCCCCCCCGAACCUCCCUGUCUCCCCCCGCAGCUGUUAAAGCACACACGGACUUCUGCAGCCCUCCGGAACGUAAAACUGAAGCCCUGCACAUUCAGCAGAGAGAAAACACCCACAGAACCGAGGCUGCCUUGUGUUUCUUGUUAGAAAGUAAUGCAAAAGGCUGGCCUCGUUAAACUUUUAGUAGCAGUUCUGUGCAUAGAGAGCGCUGAAUACUGAUCUGAUUAUUGAAUUUGCUCAGAUCUCGGUGAAAUGGUAAUAGAUGGAGUGCAUUACACUGAGGAUAAAAGGUAAAGACUCACUUGGAUUGUCCUGGUGCCAUCAUAAAUGAAUCAUCACUUCGCUAUUAAGACCCGUACUCGAUCAUGCAAUUUGGAGCAUAUUGAAAAGAAGCACUGGCUGAUUCAUGCAGCAGGAGCAGAGCAGAGGCAUUUGCUUGCUUGUUCCCAGUGAAACAUCCUGGAUGCUGGGGGGAGCUGGGAACACUUCGGUUGCAAAGCUGCAACUUUUCCUGCUGGAUGUGGAGACCUCCAGGCCCCAGGGAGCACAGAACAGCCGAAAUGAAGCCUACUCCAACUGCUCAAUCCAUGUCUGGAUCUGCCCCCUGGGCUGAGGACAAGGACGGGCCUCGGCACCCAGGCCUGUGCUGACCCGGCUCCGGCAGCAGCGGUGCAGGAACAGGAAACCAUUUUUCUCCUCUUCAAGGUUUUGGUGUAAUUUGAGAACCAAGCCCCAUGCAGAUCGGAACACGUUGGUAAUGUCUGGAAAGUAAUUAUGGCAUAUAUUAUUAUUUUAAUAUUUACUAAGUGCUGACAGUACAAUGCCUUUAUUAAAACUUUGGGGGAGGGUGAAAUACGCACCACAAAGCAUGGCGGGAUGAGGGUAGUCGUCUGAAAUUGCUCAUUUAUAUUUCAAUUUUACAGUCACUUUCCUGUGACCUACUUUUAAUCAUACAUUGUUUUCUUUGCGGCUUAAAUCAUGUAAGGUGGUUAAUGAUUUUAAUUUAAAGUUCUCUGAGGAAGAAUGUAAAUAAUACUUCUGCCUAGUGGAGGCAGGCUGUGAACUUCUUAUUGAGAAGCAAUUUAUCACUGUAUUGAAGAGCAAUGGAAGAGGUUUAACUUCGCCAGAAGCUGGAAGUCUUUCUUUUCACUUGUUCUGACCAUGUAAGAGCAAUAUGCCAAGGGUUAUCAGGAGAGCUCUGUGUUAAAAAAUAAAUUGAUGAGACUGGAUUACUUUUGGCCUUUG